RNAcentral lists this unclassified non-coding RNA (157 nucleotides) under uncultured Herpotrichiellaceae. Its description in RNAcentral is "sequence contains ITS2". Lineage: Eukaryota; Fungi; Ascomycota; Eurotiomycetes; Chaetothyriales; Herpotrichiellaceae. The record is from RNAcentral.
UCAACUAUCAAGCCUGGCUUGUUGUUGGAUUUUGCGGCUGUAACAUGUGGCAGGUCCGAAAAAUAAUGACGGUGUCAUGUUUGACCCUAAAUGCAACGAGCUUUUAUAGCACGCAUUGAAGUGGUCGACUGAACUGGUCUUAACCAUUAAUUUCUAA